CCCUUAGAUGUUCUGGGCCGCACGCGUGCUACACUGAGUGGAUCAGCGGGUCAGGUUGCGCGAAAGUGUUUCCUAAUCUUUAAAUCCGCUCGUGAUGGGGAUUGACGGUUGCAAUUUUCCGUCAUGAACGAGGAAUACCUUGUAAGCGCGGGUCAUCAUCCCGCGCUGAAUACGUCCCUGCCCUUUUUACACACCGCCCGUCGCUCCUACCGAUUGAGUGGUCCGGUGAGGCUUUGGGAUCUGAGCGGAAAGAGCGUUUCGCUGUUUCUGCCCGGAAAACUCAGUCGAACCUUAUCAUUUAGAGGAAGGAGAAGUCGUAACA
RNAcentral lists this ribosomal RNA (322 nucleotides) under uncultured eukaryote. RNAcentral's name for it is "partial 18S ribosomal RNA". It matches the Rfam family "Eukaryotic small subunit ribosomal RNA", at positions 1470 to 1796 of the family's 1831-position model. The record is from RNAcentral.